RNAcentral lists this ribosomal RNA (811 nucleotides) under uncultured Bacillota bacterium. RNAcentral's name for it is "bacterial SSU rRNA". It matches the Rfam family "Bacterial small subunit ribosomal RNA", at positions 73 to 896 of the family's 1533-position model. Lineage: Bacteria; Bacillati; Bacillota. The record is from RNAcentral.
GCUCCCUUCGGGGAGUGCAUAAAGUGGCGCACGGGUGAGUAACACGUAAGUAAUCUACCCUCGAGUGGGGAAUAACAACCGGAAACGGUUGCUAAUACCGCAUAAUGCAGCGGCACCGCAAGGUGACAGUUGUUAAAGGAGUAAUUCGCUUGAGGAGGAGCUUGCGGCAGAUUAGCUUGUUGGUAAGGUAACGGCUUACCAAGGCUACGAUCUGUAUCCGGUCUUAGAGGACGGUCGGACACACUGACACUGAAUAACGGGUCAGACUCCUACGGGAGGCAGCAGUCGGGAAUUUUGGGCAAUGGGCGAAAGCCUGACCCAGCAACGCCGCGUGAAGGAUGAAGUAUUUCGGUAUGUAAACUUCGAAAGAAUAGGAAGAAUAAAUGACGGUACUAUUUAUAAGCUCCGGCUAACUACGUGCCAGCAGCCGCGGUAAUACGUAGGGAGCAAGCGUUGUUCGGAUUUACUGGGCGUAAAGGGCGCGUAGGCGGCGCGGUAAGUCACUUGUGAAAUCUCUGAGCUUAACUCGGAACGGUCAAGUGAUACUGCAGUGCUAGAGUGCAGAAAGGGCAAUCGGAAUUCUUGGUGUAGCGGUGAAAUGCGUAGAUAUCAAGAGGAACACCUGAGGCGAAGGCGGGUUGCUAGGCUGACACUGACGCUGACAGCGCGAAAGCCAGGGGAGCAAACGGGAUUAGAUACCCCGGUAGUCCUGGCCCUAAACGAUGAAUACUUGGUGUCUGGAGUCUUAAUGCUCCGGGUGCCGUCGCUAACGUUUUUAGUAUUCCGCCUGGGGAGUACGCUCGCAAGAGUG